UUGACCUGGAUCAGGUAGGAAUACCCGCUGAACUUAAGCAUAUCAAUAAGCGGAGGAA
RNAcentral lists this ribosomal RNA (58 nucleotides) under Dermatocarpon meiophyllizum. RNAcentral's name for it is "partial 28S ribosomal RNA". It matches the Rfam family "Eukaryotic large subunit ribosomal RNA", at positions 1 to 58 of the family's 3401-position model. The record is from RNAcentral. Lineage: Eukaryota; Fungi; Ascomycota; Eurotiomycetes; Verrucariales; Verrucariaceae.